UACGUAGGGUGCGAGCGUUGUCCGGAAUUACUGGGCGUAAAGAGCUCGUAGGUGGUUUGUCGCGUUGUCCGUGAAAACUCACAACUCAAUUGUGGGCGUGCGGGCGAUACGGGCAGACUGGAGUACUGCAGGGGAGACUGGAAUUCCAGGUGUAGCGGUGAAAUGCGUAGAUAUCUGGAGGAACACCGGUGGCGAAGGCGGCAUCCUGGACCGACACUGACGCUGAGGAGCGAAAGCCAGGGGAGCAAAGCAGGG
RNAcentral lists this ribosomal RNA (255 nucleotides) under uncultured bacterium. RNAcentral's name for it is "partial 16S ribosomal RNA". It matches the Rfam family "Bacterial small subunit ribosomal RNA", at positions 524 to 778 of the family's 1533-position model. The record is from RNAcentral.